RNAcentral lists this transfer RNA (64 nucleotides) under Sunius melanocephalus. RNAcentral's name for it is "tRNA-Cys". Lineage: Eukaryota; Metazoa; Arthropoda; Insecta; Coleoptera; Staphylinidae. The record is from RNAcentral.
AGUCUUAUAGUCAAAAUUAAUGAUAUCAAAUUGCAAGUUUGAAGGUGGGCAAGCUCUAAGGCUU